Molecule: ribosomal RNA, 1461 nt
Filed under: uncultured bacterium
Lineage: Bacteria
Description: 16S ribosomal RNA
Rfam family: Bacterial small subunit ribosomal RNA
Source: RNAcentral
AAGAGUUUGAUCAUGGCUCAGAUUGAACGCUGGCGGCAUGCCUUACACAUGCAAGUCGAGCGGUAGAGGGGCAACCCUCGAGAGUGGCGAACGGGUGAGUAAUGCAUCGGAACGUGCCCAGUCGUGGGGGAUAACACUUCGAAAGAAGUGCUAAUACCGCAUACGACCUGAGGGUGAAAGCGGGGGACCGCAAGGCCUCGUGCGAUUGGAGCGGCCGAUGUCAGAUUAGGUAGUUGGUGGGGUAAAGGCCCACCAAGCCGACGAUCUGUAGCUGGUCUGAGAGGACGACCAGCCACACUGGGACUGAGACACGGCCCACACUCCUACGGGAGGCAGCAGUGAGGAAUUUUCCGCAAUGGACGAAGGUCUGACGGAGCAAUCUCGCGUGGAGGAUGACACCUUUCGAGGCGUAAACUCCUUUUAUGAGGGAAGAAAUUUUGACGGUACCUCAUGAAUAAGGGACGGCUAACUACGUGCCAGCAGCCGCGGUAAUACGUAGGUCCCAAGCAUUAUCCGGAAUUACUGGGCGUAAAGCGAUCAAAGGCGGUUUAUUAAGUCUGGUGUUAAAGCCCUCGGCUCAACCGAGGAAUCGUACUGGAAACUGAUAAACUAGAAGAAUGCAGAGGUGACUAGAAUUUCUAUUGUAGGGGUUAAAUCCGUAGAUAAUAGAAGGAAUACCAAAAGCGAAGGCAGGUCACUGGGCAUUUCUUGACGCUGCUUGAUCGAAAGCGUGGGGAGCAAAACGGAUUAGAUACCCGUGUAGUCCACGCCCUAAACGAUGGAUACUCGGUGUGGGAGGGUUUCAAUCCCCUUCCGUGCCUAAGCUAACGCGUUAAGUAUCCCGCCUGGGGAGUACGGCCGCAAGGUUAAAACUCAAAGGAAUAGACGGGGAUCCACACAAGCGGUGGAGCAUCUGGUUUAAUUCGACAAUAAGCGGGGAACCUUACCGGGGCUUGACAUCCUCAGAAUUUCUUGGAAACAGGGAAGUGCCUUUAUGGAACUGAGUGACAGGUGCUGCAUGGUUGUCGUCAGCUCGUGCCUUGAGGUGUUCGGUUAAGUCCGUUAACGAGCGCAACCCUCGUCGUAUGUUGUUUUUUUCAUGCGAGACUGCCAGUUUUAAGCUGGAGGAAGGUGAGGAUGACGUCAAAUCAGCAUGGCCCUUAUGUCCCGGGCGACACAGGUGCUACAAUGGCCGGUACAAUGCGUAGCCAAGCCGUAAGGUGGAGCCAAUCGCAUCAAAGCCGGUCUCAGUUCGGAUUGUGGUCUGCAACUCGACCAUAUGAAGUUGGAAUCGCUAGUAAUCGCAAAUCAGCCAUGUUGCGGUGAAUAUGUUCCUGGAUCUUGUACUCACCGCCCGUCAAAUCAUGAAAGGUGGGGGUGCCCUAAGUCGCGUUAUCUCUUCGGGGAGCGUGCCCAAGGUAAAACCACUGAUUGGGAUUAAGUCGUAACAAGGUAGCCGUA